This 1350-nucleotide ribosomal RNA is filed under the name uncultured bacterium. Its description in RNAcentral is "partial 16S ribosomal RNA". It matches the Rfam family "Bacterial small subunit ribosomal RNA", at positions 27 to 1385 of the family's 1533-position model. The record is from RNAcentral.
GAACGAACGCUGGCGGCGUGGAUAAGACAUGCAAGUCGAGCGGAAAGGCCUCUUCGGGGGUACUCGAGCGGCGAACGGGUGAGUAACACGUGAGUAACCUGCCCUAGGCUUUGGGAUAACCCUCGGAAACGGGGGCUAAUACCGGAUAUUCAUGCAUUGCGGCAUCGUGGUGUGUGGAAAGUUUUUCGGCUUGGGAUGGGCUCGCGGCCUAUCAGCUUGUUGGUGGGGUGAUGGCCUACCAAGGCGACGACGGGUAGCCGGCCUGAGAGGGCGACCGGCCACACUGGGACUGAGACACGGCCCAGACUCCUACGGGAGGCAGCAGUGGGGAAAAUUGCACAAUGGGCGGAAGCCUGAUGCAGCGACGCCGCGUGAGGGAUGACGGCCUUCGGGUUGUAAACCUCUUUCGACAGGGACGAAGCGUGAGUGACGGUACCUGUGGAAGAAGCGCCGGCCAACUACGUGCCAGCAGCCGCGGUAAUACAGAGGUCUCAAGCGUUGUUCGGAUUCAUUGGGCGUAAAGGGUGCGUAGGCGGCGCGGUAAGUCGGGUGUGAAAUCUCGGAGCUUAACUCCGAAACUGCAUUCGAUACUGCCGUGCUUGAGGACUGGAGAGGAGACUGGAAUUUACGGUGUAGCGGUGAAAUGCGUAGAUAUCGUAAGGAACACCAGUGGCGAAGGCGGGUCUCUGGACAGUUCCUGACGCUGAGGCACGAAGGCCAGGGGAGCAAACGGGAUUAGAUACCCCGGUAGUCCUGGCAGUUAACGGUGCACGUUUGGUGUGGGAGGACUCGACCCCUUUUGCGCCGGAGCUAACGCGUUAAACGUGCCGCCUGGGGAGUACGGUCGCAAGAUUAAAACUCAAAGAAAUUGACGGGGGCCCGCACAAGCGGUGGAGUAUGUGGCUCAAUUCGAUGCAACGCGAAGAACCUUACCAGGCCUUGACAUGCAUCUCUAAGUUGGUGAAAGCCAGCGAGUCCCGAAAGGGACAAUUUGCACAGGUGCUGCAUGGCUGUCGUCAGCUCGUGUCGUGAGAUGUUGGGUUAAGUCCCGCAACGAGCGCAACCCCUGUGAACUGUUGCCACGGAACCGAGAGGUUCCAGCACUCUGUUCAGACUGCCCCGCUCUAACGGGGAGGAAGGUGGGGAGGACGUCAAGUCUGUAUGGCCCUUACGGCCUGGGCUGCACACGUACUACAAUGCCCAGUACAGAACGAUCCAAGACCGCGAGGUGGAGGAAAUCACUAAAACUGGGCCCAGUUCAGAUUGAAGUCUGCAACUCGACUUCAUGAAGCCGGAAUCGCUAGUAAUGGCGUAUCAGCUACGACGCCGUGAAUACUUCCCGGGCCUGUA